Long non-coding RNA from Cyprinus carpio (common carp), 503 nucleotides. RefSeq lists it as uncharacterized. NCBI's taxonomy places the organism in Eukaryota, Metazoa, Chordata, Actinopteri, Cypriniformes, Cyprinidae. The record is from RefSeq and is a predicted model, not a curated record. The transcript is spliced from 2 exons.
UCUCUCCAGCAAAGAACGUCGACUUUAGAAGAGUUUUUUGUGGUGUUUGAUCGUGUUUUGGAGGCCGUGAUGAGAAGCAGCGGCGAAGAGCAGCAGAAAGACCCGGAGAGAUGCAUGCAGCCAGGGAUAGCAUUAGCACUGACUUUGGUGUGCAGUUGGUCAAAGAACAAACCUUUUUAGUGACUGCCUUGAGUGUCUUCCUACACUGUAAAUACUGUAAAUAGUUGCUUUUAGUUUUUCAGUAACUUGAUAUUCAUAAUAAUUAGCAGAGAAAAAAAAUGUACAAUUACAAAAUGUAAAAUAAAUAAAUUGUAUUUUGCAUGUUUUGUGUUCAUUCACUCUAAAAUGAUCACUGAUCUGUUUUCAUUAUUAGAAUUGUUCAAAAUAAAUAGUUUAGUUAAAAUGUUAAAAUGUUGUUCUGAAAUAGUUUUGUGUUUGUUUGUGGUUUCAUGGGUAGAUGAGUUCUGAGUUGAUAUACAUAUGUAGUGUAUGUAGUAUGCAGU